CAGCCGCCGCGGUAAUACGGAGGGGGCUAGCGUUGUUCGGAAUUACUGGGCGUAAAGCGCACGUAGGCUGCUUUGUAAGUCAGAGGUGAAAGCCCGGGGCUCAACCCCAGAUGUGCCUUUGAGACUGCAGGGCUAGAACGUCGGAGAGGUGAGUGGAAUUCCGAGUGUAGAGGUGAAACUCGUAGAUAUUCGGAAGAACACCAGUGGCGAAGGCGGCUCACUGGACGACUGUUGACGCUGAGGUGCGAAAGCGUGGGGAGCAAACAGGAUUAGAUACCCCUGUAGUCCCUGUCUCUUAUAC
Molecule: ribosomal RNA, 301 nt
Filed under: uncultured bacterium
Lineage: Bacteria
Description: partial 16S ribosomal RNA
Rfam family: Bacterial small subunit ribosomal RNA
Source: RNAcentral